CCUAACACAUGCAAGUCGAACGGUAACAGGAAACAGCUUGCUGUUUCGCUGACGAGUGGCGGACGGGUGAGUAAUGUCUGGGAAACUGCCUGAUGGAGGGGGAUAACUACUGGAAACGGUAGCUAAUACCGCAUAACGUCGCAAAACCAAAGAGGGGGACCUCCGGGCCUCUUGCCAUCGGAUGUGCCCAGAUGGGAUUAGCUAGUAGGUGGGGUAACGGCUCACCUAGGCGACGAUCCCUAGCUGGUCUGAGAGGAUGACCAGCCACACUGGAACUGAGACACGGUCCAGACUCCUACGGGAG
RNAcentral lists this ribosomal RNA (304 nucleotides) under uncultured bacterium. RNAcentral's name for it is "bacterial SSU rRNA". It matches the Rfam family "Bacterial small subunit ribosomal RNA", at positions 47 to 347 of the family's 1533-position model. The record is from RNAcentral.